GAUGGUGAUCGUCACAAUGGUAGUUAAUGUGAUGAUGAUGAUGGUAGUUGUACCAUCAUCAUCAUCACAUUAACUACCAUCAUCACGAUGGUAGU
Paramuricea clavata is the source of this 95-nucleotide non-coding RNA. NCBI's taxonomy places the organism in Eukaryota, Metazoa, Cnidaria, Anthozoa, Malacalcyonacea, Plexauridae. The record is from the annotation of a GenBank genome assembly.